Molecule: ribosomal RNA, 253 nt
Filed under: uncultured bacterium
Lineage: Bacteria
Description: partial 16S ribosomal RNA
Rfam family: Bacterial small subunit ribosomal RNA
Source: RNAcentral
UACGGAGGGGGCCAGCGUUGUUCGGAAUCAUUGGGCGUAAAGGGCGCGUAGGCUGCUCAGUAAGUCAGUUGUGAAAUCCCUCGGCUCAACCGAGGAACUGCGUCUGAUACUGCUGGGCUUGAGUCCCGGAGAGGGUAGCGGAAUUCCCAGUGUAGCGGUGAAAUGCGUAGAUAUUGGGAGGAACACCAGUGGCGAAGGCGGCUACCUGGACGGGUACUGACGCUGAGGCGCGAAAGCGUGGGGAGCAAACAGG